CUCACCAGGUCAGGACACGGUAAGGAUUGACGGACUGAAGGCUCUUUCUCGAUUCCGUGGAAAGUGGUGCAUGGCCGUUUUUGGUUGGUGGAUCGAUCCGUCUGGUUAAUUCCGUUAACGAACGAGACCUCGGCACUCCGAAUAGCGCGGCGGACGUCGCGGCCUCCGGGCCGUCUUCCGCACGAGCUUCUUAGAGGGACCGUCCCCCGCCGGGGAAGGAGGUGCGAGGCAACGACAGGUCUGUGAUGCCCUUAGAUGUUCUGGGGCCGCACGCGCAUUACACUGACGCGUCCAACGGGUGACUCCCGACCCGAAGGGGCCGGGGAAUCCGCAAGGCGCGUCGUGAUGGGGAUUGAACGUUGCAAUUGUUGUUCACGAACGAGGAAUUCCUAGUAGGCGCGGGUCAUCAACCCGCGCCGAUUACGUCCCUGCCCUUUGUACAC
Molecule: ribosomal RNA, 443 nt
Filed under: uncultured eukaryote
Lineage: Eukaryota
Description: bacterial SSU rRNA
Rfam family: Eukaryotic small subunit ribosomal RNA
Source: RNAcentral